This is an RNA transcript of Chenopodium quinoa (quinoa), 4435 nucleotides long. It is a transcript of the gene named C2 and GRAM domain-containing protein At1g03370-like, with no coding region annotated. Lineage: Eukaryota; Viridiplantae; Streptophyta; Magnoliopsida; Caryophyllales; Amaranthaceae. The record is from RefSeq and is a predicted model, not a curated record. The transcript has 10 exons.
AAAAAAAAAAAAAAAGAAAAGAAUGAUUGAAUGAAGUCAAGAAAAGGGUUGUCAUUGUCCUGUCUGCGCGGGGUUAAAGGUUGAACAAAAACGAAAAUGAAGACGAGGCUUGUUUUUAUAUUCAAUACCCCCCAUGAAAAGUCUGCGCCCUUUCCUUUUUCUCUCAUGUCCUUCUUCUUCUUUCUACUUCUACGUAACUUCCCUUUCUCUCUCUGACUUCUUCGUCCAUUCCCAUUUUCAAUUUCAAUCUUCAAUUUAGGGUUCAUUUUCAUCUUUUUGCCUUUCAAUUGAUCUCCAUUUUCAUCCUUCUUCUUGUUAUUGUUGUUGUUAUUUUGAUAUGUAAAUUGUAUAUCAAUCAUCUCCAUUCUUUUUACCUUCAAAAUUGGAUCCUUUUUUUUAUCAUCUCCAACUGUUUCUCGUUUAUUCAGUUUCUGGCAAAAAUCAUAAUCAACCUGUGCAUAUUUUAAUAAUUAUUUCUUGUGUUUUCUUUUUGUACCCAUGAAUAUAAUAUAUACUUCUUCCUUCUCAUUCUAUACAUUCUAAUUUAUUUUUUUUUUUUUUUGGAAAAGAACUCUUUUGGAUAAAGCUGCUGAUAAAUUAAUCAAAAAAAAAAAAAAAAAAAAAAAGGAAAAUGAAGUUGGUAGUGAAAGUGAUAGAAGCAAGAAAUAUACCAGCAAUGGAUCUGAAUGGGUACAGUGAUCCAUAUGUUAGAAUAAAUUUGGGAAAGCAAAGGUUCAGAACUAAGGUUGUAAAGAAAUGCUUGAAUCCUUACUGGGGUGACGAAUUCAGCUUUCGUGUUGAUGACUUGAGUGAUGAGUUGGUCAUUUCUGUUUUAGAUGAAGAUAAAUACUUUAAUGAUGAUUUUGUUGGUUUUGUUAAAUUCCCUGUUUCUAAGGUUUUUGAUUCUCCUGAUAAAUCUCUUCCUACUGCUUGGUAUCCUUUACUCCCCAAGAGUAAGAAGUCUAAACCCAAGGACUGUGGUGAAAUCUGUCUGCACAUAUGUCUUUCUCAAAACUCUUCUUAUAUGGACAUAUCCAACAUCGCUGCUGCCCCUUCCCAAAGAAAUGACAAUGUCGACUCUGAAUCUUUCAGUAUGGCCUCACGUUCAUCUUCUCCUUCAAGAUUGGAAGCUACUUCUUCUGCUAACAAAAAUGAUGAAUGCCUGACUAAUAAGUUUGAGCCAUCUGAAAUUUCCAAGCCCCAAGCCAGUGAGGGCAGGUCUGAUGACCUCGUUUCUCCGGCCUCUUUUGAUGAUCUAAUGAAAACCAUGGAAGGGAAGGACCAGGGAAUUGAACUUCCUACCAACUUACCAGGAGGGGUACUUUUAGAUCAGCUCUAUUUAGCCACCUCUUCUGACCUCAACGCUCUACUUUUUUCACCAGAUUCAAAGUUUCCUGUUGCUCUUGCAGAAUUCCAAGGGAAGACAGAAAUAAAUUUUGGGCCAUGGGAAUUUGAAAAUGAAAAUUUGGUAAGACUCAACACCUACCUCACGGCACCAUCAAAAAUUUCUAAGUCUCUUAAGGCUUUUGAGACUCAAGCUUAUAAACUAGCCAAUGGCAAGUCUUUUGCAAUUUUGGUCAGCGUUAGCACUCCUGAUGUAAUAUACGGGAGUACCUUUAGAGUAGAGAUGCUCUAUUGCAUCACACCUGGGCCUGAGUUGCCAUCUGGAGAACAAUCCUCACGGUUACUUGCAUCAUGGGGAAUGAAUUUUGUUCAGAGCACUAUGAUGAAGGGAAUGAUUGAAAAUGGAGCCCGGCCAGCAGUGAAGGAGAGUUUCGAUCAAUUUUCAACUCUUUUGUCUCAACAUGUCAACCCUGUUGAUCUCAAGGGUACUGGCUCCCAAAAGGAUCAGGUUCUGGCGUCAUUGCAAGCAGAACCACAAUCAGAUUGGAAGUUGGCAGUUCAAUACUUUGCUAAUUUUACCGUGGUGUCUACCAUUAUCAUUGGAACUUAUGUUCUUUUUCACAUUUGCCUGACAGCACCAAGCACCAUUCAGGGUCUUGAAUUUGUUGGGCUGGACUUGCCUGAUUCUAUUGGUGAAGUUAUUGUAUGCGGUGUCCUGGUCCUUCAAGUUAAGCGAAUGUUCGAGCUGGUAGCACGCUUCAUACAGGCCAGAUCGCAAAAGGGUAGCGACCACGGAAUUAAAGCACAAGGAGAUGGAUGGCUGCUUACUGUUGCACUAAUCGAGGGGAGCAACCUAGCAGCUGUUGAUUCAAGUGGUUUCUCUGACCCCUAUGUAGUUUUUACUUGCAAUGGGAGAACUAGAACAAGCUCAAUCAAGUUCCAGAAGCUAGAUCCUCAAUGGAAUGAAAUAUUUGAAUUUGACGCAAUGGAUGAGCCACCAUCAGUUUUAGAAGUAGAGGUUUUUGAUUUUGAUGGGCCUUUCGAUGAAGCAACUUCUUUAGGACAUGCUGAAAUAAACUUUCUUAAGGCAAAUGUAUCAGAGCUAGCAGACAUAUGGGUUCCUCUUCAAGGAAAGCUAGCACAGGCAUGGCAGUCUAAACUGCGAUUAAGAAUAUUUGUGGAUGACACAAGAGGUGGUAAUGCUAUCAGAGAAUACCUUGAAAAAAUGGAAAAGGAGGUUGGGAAGAAGAUAAGUCGGCGAUCACCUCAGACAAAUUCAGCAUUCCAGAAGCUGUUCUGCCUUCCACCAGAGGAAUUUCUUAUCAAUGACUUCACUUGCCAUCUGAAGCGCAAGAUGCCACUGCAGGGACGCCUUUUUCUAUCACCGCGAGUAAUAGGAUUCCAUGCUAGCUUAUUUGGACAUAAAACGAAUUUCUUCUUUCUUUGGGAGGACGUAGAGGACAUACAAGUUGCUUCUCCUAAUCUCUCUUCAAUGGGGAGUCCAAUCGUUGUCAUAACUCUUCGUAAGGGAAGAGGCUUAGAUGCAAAGCAUGGAGCAAAGACACAGGAUGCGGAAGGGAGGCUUAAAUAUUAUUUCCAUUCAUUUGUGUCUUUCACCAUGGCACACAGAACAAUUAUGGCCCUUUGGAAGGCAAGAUCAUUGAGUCCUGAGCAGAAGGUGAAGAUUGUUGAGGAAGACACUGAAACUACCAGUCUCCAGACAGAAGAGAGUGGAACCUUUGUAGGUGAUGAGGAUAUUAGCAUGACUGAGGUUUAUUCUUCUGCUCUCUCUGUUCCGAUGAACUUCUUGAUGGAGUUAUUUAGUGGUGGUGAUGUUGACAAAAGAGUCAUGGAGAGAACUGGAUGCCUUAAUUAUUCUUGUUCUCCUUGGGAACUAGAUAAGGAUGUUUAUGAACGGCAAGUGUGCUACAACUUUGACAAGCGUAUAUCUAGCUACAAAGGAGAAGUGACCAGCAUGCAACAAAAAUCUCCUCUUCCUGAUAAAAAUGGCUGGCUUGUUGAAGACAUUUUGACACUUCAUGGGAUUCCGCUUGGUGACUGUUUUAAUCUCCACCUCAGAUACCAGAUUGAGGAUAGAGCAAAGGGCUGUUAUGUGAAAGUAUCAUUUGGAAUUGCUUGGCUGAAAAGAAAUAAACACCAGAAAAGGAUCUCUAAGAACAUACUUUCAAAUCUGGUAGAUCGCCUGAAAGUGAUGUUUGCCACUGUUGAGAAAGAAUAUGUGAAUGGAAGAUAGAAGCUUUAAUAUUGUAGUAUUGCUUUUUGUCACCCAUGGAAGUCUCUUUUGAGAACAGAGUCAAAAAAACUAACAGAAGCAACCGUGUCUAGAUAGAAACAAGGUUACACUGAAUGAAUGUUGCCUGAAAUCAGACUAAUCACAUCAGCAUACAGCCAUCAUGAUGCAGAGAUUCUUGUAAAAUUGCAGCUGUUUUGGUAGUUUGAAGGGGAAACUUGUGAACAUCAGAAUGCCAUGGAAUAUGUUGAUGAACUUGCUUCAGAGAAACGGGGAAAGGGAGUGAUUUGGCUGUUGGGGCUGCUGUGCUGCGCUGAAGUCCUCCAUGAGGGGAUGUGCUGAAGCCUGAAGGUAAUGGAUAUGGGCUGUUUUGAGGGGCUGAGAACAGCUCUCUGAUCAUAGUUAGGGGAAGAUGCUAGAUGCAAAAAUAUACUUUGGGUAUAGUAAAGGUUACUUUUUGAAAGUAAUUGGCACUGCUUGAUCACUGCAAUUUCAUUACCAAAAAAAAAAAAAAAAAACAUGAUUGUAGUAGCUUCGUGUUGGAUGAUACUUAUCAGUUAUCACUGUCAUUCGCUGAUAAUUGUUUCAUGGAGUUACAUGCAAUGAUGAUAGAGUAGCUCAUGAGCUUGCUCAUCUCUUGCGAUUGGAGGUAGGAGGGGUUGGUUAGUUUACCUUUAUUUUGUUGUUAGUUUUUUUUGUGGUUUUAAUGGAAAUUUAUCUUUUUAUUCUGUGCGAAAAUCGACCUAAUCUGACAUUAGCUUAAAUGCUACAUAUGAAAAAACAAAAAUAGGGCAGUUUUGGUUCUAAAUUCAACUUAAAAAACCUAUAUUCCCAAAAAAA